This 117-nucleotide ribosomal RNA is filed under the name Polaromonas sp. Its description in RNAcentral is "partial 23S ribosomal RNA". It matches the Rfam family "Bacterial large subunit ribosomal RNA", at positions 2813 to 2925 of the family's 2925-position model. The record is from RNAcentral. Lineage: Bacteria; Pseudomonadati; Pseudomonadota; Betaproteobacteria; Burkholderiales; Comamonadaceae.
GCCGGGGCCUUGAGCCCCCUAAAGAGUCGUUCAAGACCAGGACGUUGAUAGGUCAGGUGUGGAAGCGCAGUAAUGCGUUAAGCUAACUGAUACUAAUUGCUCGUGCGGCUUGACCCU